GAAACUUGUGGUGGGACAGGCGCUGCGUGUUGAGUUCAUCGUCACCUUCACUCGCGGGGGACCGUGCUUUGGACUUUGGCAUGCAUGGGACAGGCGGGAGGGGGAGACAGCUCGUCCGAUUCCGGGCGCCGUGGCUGCUGCUUUAUUGGCCGACGGUGGCAAAAGACAAAGGAGGAGCAAGUGGCGCGAUGUCUCCACUCCCCAAUCCAGAACAAAGACUAGUAACUCCUGUCUCCCCCAUGUCCACCACCACCACCACCACCUGCCGACGCAUGCAGCGCCCCUCAUCCAGUGGUGGGAUGCGUUACGGACUGAUGUUGGAUUGGUCUGGCCGGCACCCCGUCGUUUUCAUGUAAUGCAUGCAUCUCGCUGCACAGCUCUCUCGUUGCUGCUGCCAUCAGUACUGCUAGUCUUCCUCCACCUUUGACUCCAUCAACUGUACCUAAAGCAGAAGCACUGCUGAUGGAGGAACGUGGUAGACAGAUCAUGGUCAUCAGCUUUUGCUCAUCACGACCGCGAAGGACAGAUCGAGUGUGAGAACUCGUCCUGCUACCGGGGAGAGCACACGAUGAACCGUGAGAGAUGCAAGAGAUGAGAGUCGAUCGCAUUUGAUCCCCCAUGGCAAAGAUGAGAGUCAGUCAAUCUCUGAACAGUUGCAGAAACAAGAAAAGAAGACAUACAGAAAUUGGGAGAAAUGGAAGGACGAGCAUAAUUUACAGCUCCAAAAAAGCUCAUCGCUCGCACCAAUGCAUUCCGAGAGAUAAAAAAUCACAUGUCCACAAGGGGAUGGGGGACAGCCUCAGCUCCCUCUCCUCCCUGUAUAAAAAGACCAAUCCACCAGCUUUUUCCCAGACACAGCCACAGGGAGGAGGAAAAGAAGGCAAGUGCAGCCCCUCUGCAACGCCCCGCCCCGCCCCCCCACCCCCCCAACCCCACCAAGCCCCUAUUAGCUGUAGAUUCUUUUGCAGCUUUGCUCCCACCUUUGCUUGAGGGCAUUGACAUCUCCCCGAGCUCUUCCAAGUUCCAUCUCUAUAUACCUCAGCCUCUGUUCCCGACCUCUUCCACUGCAUACACUUUGGCUUCCUCAGCUCUGAAAUGGGGUUCCCCGUUGGCUACCCUGAGCUCCCUAAGCUCUUCCUCCCCCUGUUCUUCCUCUUGGCCCACCUCAGAAGGCUCAUCAACUUGGUCUUCUACUCCCUCGGCCUCGGCAGCCUGCUAGAGUCUGAAACCCAGUGGCAUGACGCAGACAUGCACCGCCACCGCCACCACCAAACCAGUCUUCACUUGCUUGCAGCUGAGGUGAUCCAGGAGAGCUUGCCGGUGGUCCAGUUCGAG
RNAcentral lists this long non-coding RNA (1335 nucleotides) under Musa acuminata (dwarf banana). RNAcentral's name for it is "long non-coding RNA (MACU_LNC006463)". The record is from RNAcentral. Lineage: Eukaryota; Viridiplantae; Streptophyta; Magnoliopsida; Zingiberales; Musaceae.